This is an RNA transcript of Vigna radiata var. radiata (mung bean), 1017 nucleotides long. It is a transcript of the gene named E3 ubiquitin-protein ligase RNF8, with no coding region annotated. The transcript has 5 exons. NCBI's taxonomy places the organism in Eukaryota, Viridiplantae, Streptophyta, Magnoliopsida, Fabales, Fabaceae. The record is from RefSeq and is a predicted model, not a curated record.
AUUAUUCUCUUUGAAUUUGAUUAAGAAAACCAAACUGGUCUAAUUUCUUAAAGGCUCAAACCCUUUUUUUCUCUUCAAAUUUUCUUCCUUUUUGCUACAUUUUUCUCGGGGAGACUUAUAAAUGUGGCAAAAUCAGGCCAAUCAUUCUUCUUACAGUGGUUCUGUCAAGGCUCUUGAAGAUGAUAUACAACAUGCUAAUUCCUUGGCAUUGUCACUUCCUGGAGAUUGUGAUGGGAACUGUUUUCAGAUGAAAUUAUCUUACAGCCCCUUUGCACCUCUUUUCUUGCACUUGAUUCAAUGGUUGGAUCUUAGUUGCACGGAUACUUUACCUGUGUAUUUGGGAUUACUCCACAUACUAAUUUUCAAUUCCAGGUAUACGCUGAUGGAAUACCAUCUAUUUCCUCAAAUGAAAGGAAAGCAACUAUAAAGGAAUUUUAUGCUGUUAUAUACCCUUCAUUAAGGUUGCUUCAAGGCGAGUUUAACAAUGAUCGAAGACACAGUUAUGCAGAAGUGAACAGAAAGAGGCUUGAAAAGGUCCAAAGUAAAGAUUUAGAGGGAGAUGAAGAAUGUGGCAUAUGCAUGGAAAACAACAUGAAGAUGGUUCUGCCAAACUGUGGACAUUCCUUCUGCAUAAGUUGCUUCCAUGAUUGGUACAUGAGAUCAGAGUCAUGUCCCUUUUGCCGUGGAAGCAUGAGAAGGAUCAGUCCUGCAGAUUUAUGGAUGGUCAUUGGCAACAGUGAUGUGGUUGACAGCUUCACCAUUGCAAAAGACAAUUUGAGACGUUUGUACCUUUUCAUUCAAACUCUGCCUCCAAUCUUAGCAGAACCACAUCUACUAUACACAUUCAAUUACAUGCUAUGACUUCAACAAAAAAUAAAAAGGCUUUUAAUUAUAACUUUUAUGCAGUUGAAAUAGUUGAAUCAGACAAAUAUGCUUUUCCCUGUGUUGUGAACACCUCAAUCUCAUGCUUAUAAUAAUAUUGAAAGAGUACAGAGCAUAAACUAUGAAAGGCAUCAA